Molecule: unclassified non-coding RNA, 310 nt
Filed under: uncultured fungus
Lineage: Eukaryota; Fungi
Description: partial contains small subunit ribosomal RNA, internal transcribed spacer 1, and 5.8S ribosomal RNA
Rfam family: Eukaryotic small subunit ribosomal RNA (bases 1-73)
Source: RNAcentral
GCAAACUUGGUCAUUUAGAGGAAGUAAAAGUCGUAACAAGGUUUCCGUAGGUGAACCUGCGGAAGGAUCAUUACGAAAUUACAACUCUUUGCAGCAGGAUUUACCUCCUGUGCGCGAAGUUUUAACCCUUGUGGAACAAAACCCUUUCGCUUCGGCAGCCUAUGCCACCCAUGUGGUGUGUGUUGUAAGCCUGCCGGUAGCACCUGUUUUAAUCGAGCUUCAAAUUGGCGUCUGAAAACCAUUUUCGAAUGAAAAUAUCAAAACUUUCAACAACGGAUCUCUUGGUUCUCGCAUCGAUGAAGAACGCAGC